ACGGAAUAGAUACCCUGGUAGUCCACGCCCUAAACGAUGUCUACUAGUUGUCGGGUCUUAAUUGACUUGGUAAACGCAGCUAAACGCGUGAAGUAGACCGCCUGGGGAGUACGGUCGCAAGAUUAAAACUCAAAGGAAUUGACGGGGACCCGCACAAGCGGUGGAUGAUGUGGAUUAAUUCGAUGCAACGCGAAAAACCUUACCUACCCUUGACAUGGAUGGAAUCCCUGAGAGAUUGGGGAGUGCUCGAAAGAGAACCAUUGCACAGGUGCUGCAUGGCUGUCGUCAGCUCGUGUCGUGAGAUGUUGGGUUAAGUCCCGCAACGAGCGCAACCCUUGUCAUUAGUUGCUACGAAAGGGCACUCUAAUGAGACUGCCGAUGACAAACCGGAGGAAGGUGGGGAUGACGUCAAGUCCUCAUGGCCC
RNAcentral lists this ribosomal RNA (425 nucleotides) under uncultured bacterium. RNAcentral's name for it is "bacterial SSU rRNA". It matches the Rfam family "Bacterial small subunit ribosomal RNA", at positions 772 to 1201 of the family's 1533-position model. The record is from RNAcentral.